This 560-nucleotide ribosomal RNA is filed under the name uncultured Acidobacteriota bacterium. RNAcentral describes it as "bacterial SSU rRNA". It matches the Rfam family "Bacterial small subunit ribosomal RNA", at positions 102 to 694 of the family's 1533-position model. Lineage: Bacteria; Pseudomonadati; Acidobacteriota. The record is from RNAcentral.
ACGGCUGAGUAACACGUGACUAAUCUACCCUCGAGUGGGGAAUAACUGAGAGAAAUCUUAGCUAAUACCGCAUAACACUUACGAGUCAAAGCAGCAAUGCGCUUGGGGAGGAGGUCGCGGCCGAUUAGCUAGUUGGCGGGGUAAUGGCCCACCAAGGCGAUGAUCGGUAUCCGGCCUGAGAGGGCGCACGGACACACUGGAACUGAAACACGGUCCAGACUCCUACGGGAGGCAGCAGUGGGGAAUUUUGCGCAAUGGGGGAAACCCUGACGCAGCAACGCCGCGUGGAGGAUGAAAUCCCUUGGGAUGUAAACUCCUUUCGAUAGGGAAGAUAAUGACGGUACCUAUAGAAGAAGCCCCGGCUAACUUCGUGCCAGCAGCCGCGGUAAUACGAGGGGGGCAAGCGUUGUUCGGAUUUAUUGGGCGUAAAGGGUGCGUAGGCGGUUUGGCAAGUCUUGUGUGAAAUCUUCGGGCUCAACCCGAAGCCUGCAUAAGAAACUGCCGGGCUUGAGUAUGGGAGAGGUGAGUGGAAUUUCCGGUGUAGCGGUGAAAUGCGUAGA